This 427-nucleotide ribosomal RNA is filed under the name uncultured prokaryote. RNAcentral describes it as "bacterial SSU rRNA". It matches the Rfam family "Bacterial small subunit ribosomal RNA", at positions 355 to 774 of the family's 1533-position model. The record is from RNAcentral.
CUAAGAAUAUUCCGCAAUGGACGAAAGUCUGACGGAGCGACGCCGCGUGGAUGAUGAAGGCCGAAAGGUUGUAAAGUCCUUUUGCUGGGGAAGAAUAAGCGUGGGAGGGAAUGCCCGCGUGAUGACAUGAACCGGCGAAUAAGCCCCGGCUAACUACGUGCCAGCAGCCGCGGGAAAACGGAGGGGGCAAGCGUUGUUCGGAAUUACUGGGCGUAAAGGGCAUGUAGGCGGCCUUGUAAGCUUGGCGUGAAAGUCCACGGCUUAACCGGGGGAUUGCGUUUAGAACUGCGAGGCUUGAGUGACGGAGAGGGAGCUAGAAUUCCUGGUGGAGGGGUGGAAUCUGUAGAGAUCAGGAAGAAUACCAAUGGCGAAGGCAAGCUCCUGGCCGAUGACUGACGCUGAGGUGCGAAAGUGUGGGGAUCAAACA